GGAUGAAGAACGUAGCGAAAUGCGAUAAGUAAUGCGAAUUGCAGAAUUCAGUGAAUCAUCGAAUCUUUGAACGCACAUUGCGCCCGCCAGUACUCUGGCGGGCAUGCCUGUCUGAGCGUCAUUUCAACCCUCGCCCCCGGCUUCUGUCGGGGACGGUGUUGGGGAUCGGCCUCCCGUCUUCCGGGUGGCCGGCCCCUAAAUUGAGUGGCGACCACGCCGUAACCUCCUCUGCGUAGUAGUUAAACACUCGCGGGCGGAGAGCGGUGCGGCCUGCCGUAAAACCCCCAACUCUUCUAAGGUUGACCUCAGAUUAGGUAGGAAUACCCGCUGAACUUAAGCAUAUCAAUAAGGGAGGA
RNAcentral lists this unclassified non-coding RNA (356 nucleotides) under soil metagenome. Its description in RNAcentral is "partial contains 5.8S ribosomal RNA, internal transcribed spacer 2, and large subunit ribosomal RNA". The stretch from base 2 to 121 matches the Rfam family "5.8S ribosomal RNA", at positions 35 to 154 of the family's 154-position model. The record is from RNAcentral.